This 506-nucleotide ribosomal RNA is filed under the name Praon flavinode. Its description in RNAcentral is "eukaryotic LSU rRNA". The record is from RNAcentral. Lineage: Eukaryota; Metazoa; Arthropoda; Insecta; Hymenoptera; Braconidae.
AAGAGUACGUGAAACCGUUCAGGGGUAAACCUGAGAAACCCAAAAGAUCGAAUGAGGAGAUUCAUCGUCAAUAUAUUUAAUAUAUAUAUAAGUUAUGAUGUAAAUUAUUUUUCUCUUUAUGGGUAUAUAUAAUAUAUACAUACUUGUAUUAUUUUAUUGUUAAAUAUUGUCGACGUGCACUUCUCCUCUAGUAGGACGUUGCGACCCGUUGGGUGUCGGUCUAUGGCCUUAUUAAGUAGCCUUUAAUUCCUUAAAAAAAUUAAAGAUUAAUUUGUGUUUCCUGACCGACUGCCCGGCGGUAUUCAUAUGAUAAUGAGUCGCAUUUUAUUAUGCGUUCAUACCCAUCGCAAGCGAGGCCAGUUUAUUAUCCUGGUAGUUACGGACUUAGUGCCGUCGCUGGGCCUGGCCAGCUGUUAGCUGUAUGGUGUUCUAGAACUGACUCAAAUAUAAUAUUAUCGGUCGGCAAUGCUACUGCUUUGGGUACUUUCAGGACCCGUCUUGAAACA